This is a long non-coding RNA of Empidonax traillii (willow flycatcher), 224 nucleotides long. RefSeq lists it as uncharacterized. The record is from RefSeq and is a predicted model, not a curated record. The transcript is spliced from 3 exons. NCBI's taxonomy places the organism in Eukaryota, Metazoa, Chordata, Aves, Passeriformes, Tyrannidae.
CCGCACCGUGCCCUGCCCGCCCCGAGGGACGGCGGACCCCGCUCUUCCUCGGCCGUGCCCGCGGGCUGCCCGGGCCAUGGGGCGCGCAGGGGCGCUGGUGCUGCUGCUCCUCUGGCUGGGCGCGGAGCUGGCGAGUGCGGGUGGAAAGAAGUCCUACAGUGGGCCAUGUGGGGGCCGUGAUUGCAGCGCUGGAUGCAAAUGUUUUCCAGAGAAGGGCGCACGGG